Molecule: RNA transcript, 2128 nt
Organism: Magnolia sinica
Lineage: Eukaryota; Viridiplantae; Streptophyta; Magnoliopsida; Magnoliales; Magnoliaceae
Exons: 10
Source: RefSeq, a predicted model, not a curated record
AGAGUUCUUAAACUUCACCCAUUUCUUCUUUUCUUCUUUCCCACCAAAACCCAUCCUUCCAAAAACGCCAUGAACGUUACUGCUGGCUUUCUCAGUUCUUCUUCCUCUUCCUUCCUCUUCCAACCCUUCAAAUCCCCAAAUUCCAAAAUCUUCAACCCAAACCCCAAAACGCUAACCCUAAUCUGCCGAUCCGAAUCCAAACCCACCAGCAAGCAGAAUCCAAUGCAAGGCAGCAGCGGUAGGCCGACUCCCUCCAGAAACCCUAGGAAGAAGAACUCGUACGGGUCUUCUAGAAGGUCUGUUAUCAAGAAGACAUUCGCCCAGGAGCAGCUUAUCUUCACCUCUCCAAUCUCCGAUAACCCGAUCGUUGCCAUUAUUGGAGGUGGGAUGUCUGGGAUGCUCUGCGCCCUCGGUCUCGAGAAAAGGGGGAUCCGGUCGACGGUUUUCGACACGGGGGUGCACGGGUUGGGAGGGAGAAUGGGAACGAGAAUUAUUGAUCCUCAAUCGUUGGUCUUUGACCAUGCUGCUCAGUUCUUCACAGUGAAUGAUUCUCACUUUCAUGAGUUGGUUGAUGGAUGGAAGGAGAAGGAACUUGUUCGAGAAUGGACAGGGCUGAUUGGGGAGUUGGAAGUGGGUGGUAAUUUUGUGCCGAUUCCUUCCACGUCCUCCAGAUACAUUGGUGUGGAGGGAAUGCGCCCCCUUGCAGAUUCGAUUAUGUCUCAGACUUGUAUGGUUAAUGUGGUGAGACCUUGCUGGAUUAGUAAACUCGAGCCGUUUAAUGGGAUGUGGCACUUGAGUGAGAAUGGAAAACCGUGUGGCCAGUUUGAUGCAAUUGUUAUUGCACACAAUGGAAAAUGCGCAAAUCGGUUGCUUGCAUCAUCUGGUUUACCUCUGAUUGCUAGACAGAUGAAGAGGCUGGAACUGAGUUCUAUCUGGGCACUUCUUGCAGCAUUUGAAGAUCCUCUUCCUAUUUCCGUCAGCACAGAUACAACUCCUUUUGAAGGAGCUUUUGUAAAAGGGGUCGAUGCUGUUUCAUGGAUGGCAAACAACACAAAGAAACUAUUUCCUUUCCAGAGCAAGGGCCCUCAUUGCUGGACCUUUUUCAGCACUGCUGCUUAUGGGAAAAGAAACAAAGUUCCACAGGAAAAUAUUCCAAAUGUCACAGCAGAGAAGGUGAAGGAAGGCAUGCUUGGAGGUGUUGAGAUGGCUCUGGGGCUAUCAAAGGGAUCACUUCAGCGACCCUUCUAUGCAAGAGUCCAAUUAUGGGGUGCAGCUCUUCCAACUAAUACUCCAAACAUUCCAUGCAUCUUUGACCCUCAUGGGCGUGCUGGAAUAUGUGGGGAUUGGCUGCUGGGGUCAAGUUUAGAGGCUGCAGCCUUGAGCGGCAUGGCUCUUGCCAAUCAUGCUGGUGAAAGGAGCCCUCGAAACCUAUUUUUGUUGCAGAGUUUCAAAUUUCCAGUUUUUGACAGAAUCAGUGGAGGAAGAUGCACAGGGUUCAGGCUUCUGUUGAGGCCAUGUUGAAGAAACUCCAAUUAUAAAUGUCGGCUAUUAGUGAUCCUCUUUGCCCUAUGGAGCUGUGAAAGAUUUUCGAAGUAUAAUAACAUCACCCGACACUUUAUCAAGUCGUCAUAUGUAGAAUUUAGACAUGUUCAUGGUUUUCCAUCUUCCACUGGAAGGAUUGUGUACAAAUCAUGAUGCAAAAGAUUUCACCCUUGAGAAUUAUAGAGAAGAUUAGAUCAUGUGAAGUUCCUAGAGCUCUUUAGUCACCGUUGGGAGCCAGACUUGUGCAGAAUCAUUUGGGGAAUUUCUAAAAUAUUCCUAACCAUUGGAUGAAUGCUACAUGUGUUUAUCCUAACCAUUGAUGUAUGGUAGCUAGAAAACUAGACACUGAGGGAGAACCUCAGGAAACGUCAGAAAGUUGUAAGCAAGUGAGCUUGUGAGUAAUAUAAGUCUUCUUCACUAGAAAAAUAUACAAUAGAAAGUUGUGAGCAAGAUGCUCAGAUCCUCUUAAACCAUACAAAAAUAUGGAUUUCUUACGUCCUUCACAGCCAUGGCUGAAGAAAACUUGGUUGACCCAAUAUGUGUAAUCCAGCCAAAACAAAGUACCAAUAUGUGUCAUUUUGGCCCA